UGUAUAUAUUUAUUUUUCAAACCCCAAUGGAAGCUCAAGAAAAACAUGUCCUUUAUUAAAGAUUGAAGUACCCUGUUAUUCAGUUAAGUUGUGAGAAAACCCAGCAAAUCCAGGGCAAUCCAUGGAAUUUUUAACUUUAAAAAAUAAAACCAAAAAUUCUUCAGUGUUCUGUGAGCAGGGAAGGACCCACCCCAAACACACAGAUUCAACUUAAAAACUCCUUUUCUGAUGACCUGAAAAUCUUUUCUAUAUGUCUAAAAAAUUUUAUCUUCUCAGCAGAUCACCAAGUGUUAUUUGCCCAUGGGUAGAUAAAAGCAACAGAAUAUAUAUUAUUCUUUAUAAAUAUUAAGGUGAAAGACAUCAAAAUGUCCCCGAAACUGUCAACUGAAGGCUCAUGUUAGUAUCUACAUACCAUUUUACCUUAUUUGUUUCUUCCUUUAAAUUUACAAUAGAAAUUGAAGGAUUUUAGAACUCCUGGGAAUGUACUAGUAAGUGGAAAUGGAAUUGAAAUCACACCAUUAGACAUCAGCUUCUUUUUCAUUUGAAUUAUCAAAACAAGCAUUUAACCAUACUCUUCUGUCAGUKUUACAGGGAUAAUAAUUUGUACCUGUCUCACAGGCCUGUGGCAUGUGAAAAGCAGGGUGAAGGAGGGGAUAUGCAAAGUAGUUGUUUAAUUAAAGACUCUUAGAUCAAAGUGAGAUUCUUGGAUUGUUUAGAUUUUGCUCAGAUACACCAGGAAAAACAGGUUUCACAUUUCUGCUUGUUUACAGCAAUACCAUAAUAAUGAUGUUUAAUCAGGAAGGAGGUCUGGUGACUAAUAAAGAUGAAGAAAUGGCCAGAGAAUGGAAAUGGCCUCAGGAUGGCAAGCUUGCCAAGCCAGUUAUAAUACAGCCAAAGUUGACAGAGCUGUUGAAGAAAUACGAAGUUCCAAAGGAGACUAUAAGCCGUGUAAAUGAUAUCAGUGUAGCCAGAGAACUGAGGAAGCUACAGAGGAAGAUCCGGAGGAUUGUGGAUGACUGGCUGGAACAUUAUCAAACUGCCCUAGAUCAGCACGGGUCAUAUCCCAGACUGCUUGUCCUGCUGUUCUUCGGAGAAUUAUGAUGGGGGAGGAAGGGAAGACAUGCAGAUGUAGUAAUCGUAAGAUUCCCCAUGUGUCAGACCUGGAGUUUGAUCACCUUAUUAACAAUCAGAUGCCCUCCAAAGAGCAGAUCAUAGUGGUCUGUGUCUCUUCUUCUUCACAAAUGAACAAGGAUCCUAGUGAAGACAAAUUAGAGCAGCUCUAUGAAAGAAAAAACAAGAACAGAAGUAUGCCUUGUGCUCAGGUGGGUUUCAUCAGGCAUUAGGUAUUUUUUGCAACACAUGGUUGAAACCUUUAGAGAGUCUUUUUGGAAUAAUUUUCUGUUUAUCUAGUUGCUAAAAUAUCUGAAAAGUGGUCUCACCAGAAAUGUCUAACUGGCACCAUCUCCAAAAUUGUGUUCCACAGGAAAUUUAAAUAUUAAAACAAAUUGUUCCAAAGUGGAACAAAGUCUAGAAGUGUUAGUUUCCUACGAAACAAAUUGUUUCAAAAAAAAUUGUUUCUGAAAAAUGAUAAUAUUUGAUUACAUAUCUUUGAAGAUAUGGAAUUCCUCACAUUGUUCCUUUUUCUGGAAGAGCCAAGGGAGUAACCCCAAAUUAUCCCUUGACGUAGAGCAAGGACCUCAAACCUUGAUUAAAAAAUCCCUAGAAUUGGAUCUUGAAGAUCUUUCUAGCUUUGUGGCACAGUACCAAUUAAGGCAUCAAAAUAACUCCUUUGCCUUUGUUGUAUUUAUCUAUUCCCUGAGAAUCUGGUCUCGCAGCAGCUAUCAUUUCUGAUUUGCAUUUGAAAAAGUUAACAUAGAAGGAGUGAAAUUUUG
This 1892-nucleotide long non-coding RNA is filed under the name Apteryx haastii (Great spotted kiwi). RNAcentral describes it as "lncRNA (ENSAHAG00000018234.1)". Lineage: Eukaryota; Metazoa; Chordata; Aves; Apterygiformes; Apterygidae. The record is from RNAcentral.